This 638-nucleotide ribosomal RNA is filed under the name Phyllosticta capitalensis. RNAcentral describes it as "eukaryotic LSU rRNA". The stretch from base 258 to 411 matches the Rfam family "5.8S ribosomal RNA". The record is from RNAcentral. Lineage: Eukaryota; Fungi; Ascomycota; Dothideomycetes; Botryosphaeriales; Phyllostictaceae.
GUAGGUGACCUGCGGAAGGAUCAUUACUGAAAUGUAAUAACUUGUAUUGAAAGGUUCCAGAGUAGGCGCUACAACGCCGAAAUGACCUUCUCACCCUUGUGUACUCACUAUGUUGCUUUGGCGGGUCGACCUGGUUCCGACCCAGGCGGCCGGCGCCCCCAGCCUUAACUGGCCAGGACGCCCGGCUAAGUGCCCGCCAGUAUACAAAACUCAAGAAUUCAUUUUGUGAAGUCCUGAUAUAUCAUUUAAUUGAUUAAAACUUUCAACAACGGAUCUCUUGGUUCUGGCAUCGAUGAAGAACGCAGCGAAAUGCGAUAAGUAAUGUGAAUUGCAGAAUUCAGUGAAUCAUCGAAUCUUUGAACGCACAUUGCGCCCUCUGGUAUUCCGGAGGGCAUGCCUGUUCGAGCGUCAUUUCAACCCUCAAGCUCUGCUUGGUAUUGGGCAACGUCCGCUGCCGGACGUGCCUUGAAGACCUCGGCGACGGCGUCCUAGCCUCGAGCGUAGUAGUAAAAUAUCUCGCUUUGGAGUGCUGGGCGACGGCCGCCGGACAAUCAACUUCGGUCUAUAUAUCCAAGGUUGACCUCGGAUCAGGUAGGGAACCCGAUGAACUUAAGCAUAUCAAUAUGCGGAGGAAAAGC